GGAAAAACCCCAUUCAACUUCGUACAACUGGGUUCAAUCAGUAGCUCUUGAGAGUAUCCCUGGGCAGGACGCGGGGACCUGGAGGCCAACGAGCUCCGGGAUUCCGGAGCAAAUUAAGGAUCAGCAGCAGGAUGUCGCGGAUAGCCUUCUGACAAAUUGGCAAAAUGCGGGGUUUCGGUAGCCAAAAGCGCGCCAUCGACACAUCCCCUACCUUGAGGGUGCACGUGACAGUGGUAGACACUCAAGCCCUUAAAAGGAGCGCAACGGAGGUUUAUGAUUUACACGUGUAUGGAUGGGCACGUUCACAGCGACCAGCACGGCUUCCAUGUGCAUGUUGAUGUGCUUUAGCAUACUGAGACCACGCGGGGACACACAUGUCCUUGAUGCAGUCACUUUUUGUCUCUCUCUGCAUGUGGCUUAUGAGCGCACGGUCGAAACAUUUCCCAAGGGUACAGAGGUGACACGGGAAAGUGCCCGAGCUGCCCCUCCGCUCCUGCGGCCUCCAGACUGCUCCUGGCGCGCACAGAUUUGUGCAGUCCUCGGUGGAACGAGUUUGCUCUCCCUGCGCCCUAACUGGGUGUGCAGCCUUCUGUUGUGUGGCCCUGUAUCUUUAGGUAGGGAACAUCUUUUGUCUCUCGGCAAGAAGCUUUCCUCCGGGAGAGAUAAAGUAAUCGAUAGGGUCUUUUAAAUAGCUCCGCGUUUCCUGUCCGGCGAGGAGUAUCAGCGUGUGCACCAAAUCUGCUCUGGUCUAUGAAUGUCUUCAUCGUCGGAAUGAGUGCACAUUCAGGAGGAAGGCUGUGACCGUCACUUGCCGCUUGUGACUUUAGUGUCCAGAGGUCAGCGUGGAGGUGCCAGAGGUCAUGGCCACCUUGCCGUUUCAUUUGCUCUUCUGCUGAACUCCAUCUGUACUUUCAGCCGGUCACUUCUGGGAUCAGUGCGGUUCCUGCCUCUGCCCGGUGCUGUGGGAGGUGGCUUGUCCUUUUGUAGCCUCUGUAAUGGCUCCUUGAGCACCAGGGCUGGCCUGGGGCAGCGAGUCUGCAGCUUGGCGGUCAGGCCGGAAGGACUGAGGACUGUGCGCCUGUGCGGGUGGGAAUUCCAAGCUCAGUGUCCCUUCAAGGGAGAACGGCAGGGGCGGCAGGACAGGGGCCGGCUCCUCCCUGUGGGCUGCUCUGGUUUCAGAGGGAAGCCUGGGGAGAUGCCCACCUGGGUCACAGAUGGACCUGGGACCCUGAGAUGACAGUCGCCAGGCGGCCCACUGCCUCUCUUCAGUUUCUGUCCCACAGAAGAGGGCAGGGCUGGGAAGGAAAGGGGAGAUGGGGGGGACGAAUGUGUGCGUAGCCAGCAUUAAUUAAUCGCCUGAUGCAUGCCGAGCUUGCUGAGUGGUUUGUACCCAUCAGUGCUAAAUUUCAUAGCCAGGUGAGACUUACAACUGCUGUUUUAUAAAAGAAAAAUCAGACUCAGAGAGGCCAAGUCAUUUGCCCAGGGACAGUCAGCUGCCAGAUGCAGGAGACGGGUUUGAAUGGAGUUGGAAGGGGCCUCAAGCCGUGCACACUUCACCUGAAACUGCCGGGAGCCUUCGGACAGGAGCCCAGACUGAUGGCAAGUUCCCGCCUGCCACCCCACGGCCCGGUUACUCCGUUCUCUGACCCCCCUGGGAAGCUCUGGCCUCUGUGGCCCUGCAGGUUUUACUGGUCGGGAUGUGGCACCAAGCCUCUGUCCCCCAUGCACCCAUCCUGGGCCCUCGAAGGCGCUGGAAGGUCAAGUGGCCUGCCUCCCUAAGGCCGGGAUGUCCUGGGCCUCCUGCCACUGAGCCACACCCACCCUACCCUUCUCUCCCCGAUUUCAUUAAAAACAAUACUCUUUAGGUUAAAACUCCAAGAAAGUGUUAGAAAAAGAAAGGCAAACAAAAAUGUCCUAGCCACUGUUGAUUAAAAAAAAAAAAAGCCUUCCAACGGAGAAGAGUGCAAGCAGCACGGAGGCAGAAAACCAGGAGCGACCUCCUGGGAUUCCUUCCAGAAUUUUCUUUUGCACAGAUCGACAACUAGUCCUCUAGUUGUUCAGGGAUAUUUACAGUGUCCACCCACGGGGCCGCCCUGUGCACGUCCUGCCUUGUGCGUCUCCCAUCACGUGGCCGGCUCCCUGUCCCGGCAAGUCCUCUCCCGAGCGGGGCGGUGCGCUGUGUGCCCCGGGUGUUCCACGAGGCCUCCCGGUGCGGGCGGGGGUGUCUGGUGUUUCCAGCGUUUUCUUCAGCGUCACAGCGUCACAGCCACCGUACUCCGUGCUCCCUGCAGCCUGGGGACCAGCCCCGCGCACCUGCGGAGGGCCAAGCCCGCGGACGCCCACCUGCUGCCCCCUGGUGGCCAUGCCGGGGAGCCGCAGGCCGGCCCCGAGCGCCUGACUCCGCGGCGAUCAUCAGCCUGUUGGUGUUACAAAGGGAGAAACGUCUUGGGCUCUCAACCCCCAGGGCUGCCCAGUGGCUGGGCCCAGCUCCACCUGACUCCCGGAGGCAGCUGUGCAGAUGGGUCAAACGGGGCUGGCCGGAUGCUGCUGUGUUUGGGGGACUCGUUGACAGUAAUGGGGUGCCCGCUAGGUGCCCUUCUGGGUGCUAAAAGCAGGACAGCCCUUAGGCUGAAGUUUCCACUUUCAGACCUGUUGGAGUCAGGUACAGUCACGUGCUACGGCAUGACGUCUCGGUCAGUGCCAGGCUGCCUAUGAUGGUGGCUCCGUGAGAUCAGGAUGGAGCCAGAACAGGAAUUCGUGCUUGAAGGGUUGAGAGAACAGGGUCCUGCAGGAGACGGAGGGGUCCAGGAAUGUGCCCCCUGAGGGGUCCAGUGGGAACUUCUGCAGACCCCAACCGGCUCCUUAAAAUGUGGAAACCUGGACCCAAGACCAGAAGGCUCACUAACAGGGCAAUGGCCACGAGCACCAUCUUUCUACAGGCAAAUCUGUGGUAAAAAGAGAACACACGGAGCAAGCCACAAAGGACUCUCUGAAAGGAGUGUCACCCCGAGACGCGCCUCAGGCAGGCCCUUCAGGAGGGAUCCCGAGGAGGGCACUGCCGUCAGGGACCGCGGCGCUGGGUGCGUGAGGCCGGGCUGCAGUGCGAAUGCAUUCUUAGUUUUUAACAAAAAAGUUUGACAAAUAAAGAAAACAUUUUUUUGAAAGCUAAAAGCUUAUUGACAGGAGGCAUCACAAUAUCAGACCUUAAACUAGACUACAGAGCUACAGUAACAAAAACGGCAUGGCACUGGCACCAAACAGAUAGUAGGCCAAUGGUAGGGAACAGAAGACACACAGGCAAACCCACAUAAAUAUGGUUAUCUCAUACUAGAGAAAGGUGCAUAAACAUACAUUGGAGAAAAGAUAGCCUCUUCAACAAAUGGUGCUGGGAAAACUGGAAAUC
Sciurus carolinensis (gray squirrel) is the source of this 3403-nucleotide long non-coding RNA. RefSeq lists it as uncharacterized. The record is from RefSeq and is a predicted model, not a curated record. NCBI's taxonomy places the organism in Eukaryota, Metazoa, Chordata, Mammalia, Rodentia, Sciuridae. The transcript is spliced from 3 exons.